This is a long non-coding RNA of Neofelis nebulosa (Clouded leopard), 2051 nucleotides long. RefSeq lists it as uncharacterized. The transcript has 2 exons. Lineage: Eukaryota; Metazoa; Chordata; Mammalia; Carnivora; Felidae. The record is from RefSeq and is a predicted model, not a curated record.
UAAAUAAAUAAAUAAACAAACUUCAAAAAAAUAAAAUAUUUGUACUAUAGACUUUCAUCCACUCCUUAUAUCAUUUUAUCUAUUUUAAAAUUAUAAUUUUACACACUAAGCCGUUUCCUUGUAUGAAAAUGUGGCCUCUUGACAUGUUCUACCAAACAAACAAAUAGGAACCUGGACACUUAGUGCAUAUUCCGAUAUUUGAGAGCACUUGCUGUGGUGAGUUUUGUCCGGUGCUUCAUCAAGAUUUUUUUCUUUUAAUUAACUUAAUGGAGGUAUCAUUUAAAUACAGUAAAAUGUACUCAUUGUAUGGUUCAAUGAGCUUUUACAAAUACGUACACCAUCCAAGCAGCACCCAGUUAAGAUCUAGAACAUUUUCAGGGUGCCUGGGUGGUGUAGUCAGUUAAGCGUCCCACUCUUGAUCUCAGCUCAAGUCAUGAUCUCACGGGUUCUUGAGUUCAAGCCCUGCGUCAGGCUGUGCGCUGAUGCCGUGGACCCUGUCUCUCUUUCUCUCUGCCCCUCCCCCACUUGUUCUCUUUCUCUCUCUCUCUCAAAUAAACUUUUAAAAUAUUAAAAUUAAAAAAAAAAAGAUACAGAGCAUUUUCUUUACCAGAAAAAAAAUUGAUCUUCCUUCACAAUCUCUCCACAUCCCUUAGGUAACCACCAAUCCACUUUCUGUUACUGGAGAUGAAUUUUGCUUGUUCUAGAGUUUCUUACAGAUUGAAUCAGUAUGUACUCUUGUGUCUAGUUUUUUUAGCUUACGUGUUUUGAAAUUCAGGCUUUUGCAUAUGCCUGUAGUUUGUUCCUUUUUAUCUCUGUUCCAUCGCGGUAUAUUACAAUUUGUUUAUCUGUGUGUCCACCGAUGGAUUUCUGGUCUAUUUCUAGGUGAGGUUAUUAUGAAUAAAGCCGCUACAAACAAAUGUACAAGUCUUUGUAUGGAUCUAUGUUUCCCUUUCUUUCUGAGCGAUCUCUUCUGUGACCAGUGGUACGAUGGCCUUGUACUGGGUCAGCUUAGCCGAGCCAGAAUGGUGUUUCCCGAAAUUACUCUCCUACACGCUUGUGGGUUAGCACGGCUGCCCAAGUCGUUUUGUGUCAGAUUUAGAAGGUGGAAAUGGAGCGGCAACCACGUUACUUUUCACGCUUGGAAAGAUGAGGCGGUCUGGGAAUCACUGUUGCCGAUUCAGUCAUGUUGUAACUUCGCAGUUGGCUCGCCUGCUCGGCCCAACGCAGCAUCUGGGCCUGCGGCAGCCGUGACUCCGCUCUGCUCCCCUUCGGCUUCUCCCAGUUCUGGGCCUGAUGUGUGUUUAAGCCUCUGCCGCCCUCCAUCUCAAAGGGGUGGUGAGGGGUUGACAAACGCACCGGUCCACCUUCCUGAGUUGCACAGUCUCCCAAGUGCUAGUCCGUCCUCGUCGCCCCCUCGUGCCCACCUCACAUUUGCCUUUCCUUCCUGACUUCCUCCUCCACAGACUUCAGAUCCCAACACCAGACAGAAACGAUCACCUCCUAUGAACUGUAACCAGCCUUCACAGUUAGCUGUGGUCAAAUCCUCGCUUCUCUAAUGGAACGCUGAUAAAGAACCUGCCACUGAAAGUGAUCCCAGGGGUCAGAAUCUUAAGAAUCAGACCUCUGUUGGGGCACCUGGGGGGGCUCAGUCAGUUGAGCAUCCGACUUCAGUUCAGGUCAUGAUCUCACAGUUCAUGGGUUGGAGCCCUGAGUCAGGCUCUGUGCUGACAGCUCGGAGCCUGGAGCCUGUCUCAGAUUCUGUGUCUCCCUCUCUCUCUGCCCCUCCCCCGCUAACACUCUGUGUCUCUCUCUCUCUCAAAAAUAAAUAAAUAUUGGGGCACCUGGGUGGCUCAGUCAGUUGGGCGUCCGACUUCGGCUCAGGUCACGAUCUCGCGGUCCAUGAGUUCGAGCCCCGCGUCGGGCUCUGGGCUGAUGGCUCAGAGCCUGGAGCCUGCUUCCGAUUCUGUGUCUUCCUCUCUCUCUCCCCCUCCCCCAUUCAUGCUCUGUCUCUCUCUGUCCCAAAAAAUAAAUAAACGUUAAAAAAAAUUUUU